Molecule: long non-coding RNA, 414 nt
Organism: Gossypium arboreum
Lineage: Eukaryota; Viridiplantae; Streptophyta; Magnoliopsida; Malvales; Malvaceae
Exons: 2
Source: RefSeq, a predicted model, not a curated record
UUAUGAUGGGAAAGUAAUGUUGUGGGAUCUAAGAACAUCGGAAAAUCCAACUACACUAGAUUGCGGUCCAAGAACAAUUUGCAGAAGGCACAUAAUGACUAGCUCCUACCUCUACGAAUGCUUGUGGGAGGCAUUGCAGCAGCGAAUAAGGAUGAUAUUGAUCAACAUGCAGUUGACACCAUAUGUGCUCUGAAUCCGAAUUCAGGUGUGACUUUUAGAUAUUUUAUGUGCAAAAAAGUAUUAGAGUGCCUUAUGUUUGUAUGUUAGUUAAGCAGAUUAUAGAUAGAACCUGCAGUAGGAUCAACUAAUUAGUUGAUCAAAAACUACACCCUAUUUUGUAAUCGUCUACUUGCAUAUUUGCAUAUAUUUAAUAAUAAUCUCGUGUCAACUAAUUAUUCUAUUUUUUUUAUUUAA